RNAcentral lists this transfer RNA (86 nucleotides) under Clavulina sp. PMI_390. It matches the Rfam family "tRNA". From Rfam's summary of the family: Transfer RNA (tRNA) molecules are approximately 80 nucleotides in length. The record is from Rfam by way of RNAcentral. Lineage: Eukaryota; Fungi; Basidiomycota; Agaricomycetes; Cantharellales; Hydnaceae.
UGCUCUGUGGCGCAAUUGGUUAGCGCGUCUGACUGUUAAUCCAACAGAUCAUCAGGAGGUUGAGAGUUCGACCCUCUCCGGAGCAG